GGGUCUGUAGCUCAGCUGGUUAGAGCACCGUCUUGAUAAGGCGGGGGUCGUUGGUUCGAAUCCAACCAGACCCACCA
Molecule: transfer RNA, 77 nt
Filed under: Betaproteobacteria bacterium
Lineage: Bacteria; Pseudomonadati; Pseudomonadota; Betaproteobacteria
Also listed under: 1 other name
Description: tRNA-Ile
Rfam family: tRNA
About the family: Transfer RNA (tRNA) molecules are approximately 80 nucleotides in length. Their secondary structure includes four short double-helical elements and three loops (D, anti-codon, and T loops). Further hydrogen bonds mediate the characteristic L-shaped molecular structure. tRNAs have two regions of fundamental functional importance: the anti-codon, which is responsible for specific mRNA codon recognition, and the 3' end, to which the tRNAs corresponding amino acid is attached (by aminoacyl-tRNA synthetases). tRNAs cope with the degeneracy of the genetic code in two manners: having more than one tRNA (with a specific anti-codon) for a particular amino acid; and 'wobble' base-pairing, i.e. permitting non-standard base-pairing at the 3rd anti-codon position.
Source: RNAcentral